UACGUAGGGGCUAGCGUUAUCCGGAUUUACUGGGCGUAAAGGGUGCGUAGGCGGUCUUUCAAGUCAGGAGUGAAAGGCUACGGCUCAACCGUAGUAAGCUUUUGGAACUGUAAGACUUGAGUGCAGGAGAGGAGAGUGGAAUUCCUAGUGUAGCGGUGAAAUGCGUAGAGAUCGGGAGGAAUACCAGUGGCGAAGGCGGCCUUCUGGACUGACACUGACGCUGAGGUGCGAAAGCGUGGGUAGCAAACAGGAUUAGAUACCCGCGUAGUCCCUGA
RNAcentral lists this ribosomal RNA (275 nucleotides) under uncultured prokaryote. RNAcentral describes it as "partial 16S ribosomal RNA". It matches the Rfam family "Bacterial small subunit ribosomal RNA", at positions 524 to 800 of the family's 1533-position model. The record is from RNAcentral.